GCAAUAAUGUUUACAGUCGCCAUGAUGGCUUUCAUGACAAAAAUGACAUUAGCAAUAGCAAUCUUAACGUUUACAACAUGUACCGUAGUCGCGGUCGUGGCACUCCAAGAAGAAUUGAUAAAGAAAAAUUACGUGAAAUCAUUACUCUGCUGCAUCAGUACAACCCCUUAAUGAAGUUGUUCUCAAUGAAGAGUAAUCGCAAGCAAAGGGUUGCCUGGAGAAAGUGGCUUGGCUUGUAUGACUCGACGAAUAGUGGUAUUAAUGGUAUUGGAUAAUAAAUGGAAAGUCGGAAUUUUGACUUGUGGUAUUCAA
This is a long non-coding RNA of Cydia strobilella, 312 nucleotides long. RefSeq lists it as uncharacterized. Lineage: Eukaryota; Metazoa; Arthropoda; Insecta; Lepidoptera; Tortricidae. The record is from RefSeq and is a predicted model, not a curated record. The transcript has 2 exons.